This 496-nucleotide ribosomal RNA is filed under the name uncultured bacterium. RNAcentral describes it as "partial 16S ribosomal RNA". It matches the Rfam family "Bacterial small subunit ribosomal RNA", at positions 899 to 1397 of the family's 1533-position model. The record is from RNAcentral.
ACUCAAAUGAAUUGACGGGGGCCCGCACAAGCGGUGGAGCAUGUGGUUUAAUUCGACGCAACGCGCAGAACCUUACCAGGGUUUGACAUCCUGUGCUCACUCCAGAGAUGGAGUUUCCCCGCAAGGGGCGCAGAGACAGGUGCUGCAUGGCUGUCGUCAGCUCGUGUCGUGAGAUGUUGGGUUAAGUCCCGCAACGAGCGCAACCCUCGCCUUUAGUUGCCAUCAUUAAGUUGGGCACUCUAGAGGGACCGCCGGCGACAAGCCGGAGGAAGGUGGGGAUGACGUCAAGUCCUCAUGGCCCUUACACCCUGGGCUACACACGUGCUACAAUGGCAGUGACAGUGGGCAGCCAACUCGCAAGAGUGAGCUAAUCCCAAAAAACUGCCCCAGUUCAGAUUGCACUCUGCAACUCGAGUGCAUGAAGGUGGAAUCGCUAGUAAUCGCAGAACAGCAGGCUGCGGUGAAUACGUUCCCGGGCCUUGUACACACCGCCCGU